CCUACGGGGGGCAGCAGUGAGGAAUAUUGGUCAAUGGACGAGAGUCUGAACCAGCCAAGUAGCGUGAAGGAUGACUGCCCUAUGGGUUGUAAACUUCUUUUAUAUGGGAAUAAAAUGUUCCACGUGUGGGAUUUUGUAUGUACCAUAUGAAUAAGGAUCGGCUAACUCCGUGCCAGCAGCCGCGGUAAUACGGAGGAUCCGAGCGUUAUCCGGAUUUAUUGGGUUUAAAGGGAGCGUAGGUGGAUUUUUAAGUCAGUUGUGAAAGUUUGCGGCGCAACCGUAAAAUUGCAGUUGAAACUGGCAGUCUUGAGUACAGUAGAGGUGGGCGGAAUUCGUGGUGUAGCGGUGAAAUGCUUAGAUAUCACGAAGAACUCCGAUUGCGAAGGCAGUUCACUGGACUGCAACUGACACUGAGGCUCGAAAGUGUGGGUAUCAAACAGGAUUAGAUACCCGAGUAGUC
RNAcentral lists this ribosomal RNA (460 nucleotides) under uncultured bacterium. Its description in RNAcentral is "partial 16S ribosomal RNA". It matches the Rfam family "Bacterial small subunit ribosomal RNA", at positions 338 to 795 of the family's 1533-position model. The record is from RNAcentral.